This 420-nucleotide ribosomal RNA is filed under the name bacterium. RNAcentral's name for it is "partial 16S ribosomal RNA". It matches the Rfam family "Bacterial small subunit ribosomal RNA", at positions 355 to 776 of the family's 1533-position model. The record is from RNAcentral.
UGGGGGAUAUUGCACAAUGGGCGAAAGCCUGAUGCAGCGACGCCGCGUGGGGGAUGAAGGCUUUCGGGUUGUAAACCUCUUUCGCUAUCGAACAAGGCCCGCUUAGGGUGGGUUGAGGGUAGGUGGAGAAGAAGCGCCGGCUAACUACGUGCCAGCAGCCGCGGUAAUACGUAGGGCGCGAGCGUUGUCCGGCAUUAUUGGGCGUAAAGGGCUUGUAGUCGUCUUGUUGCGCCUGCUGUGAAAACGCGGGGCUUAACUUCGCGCGUGCAGUGGGUACGGGCAGGCUUGAGUGUGGUAGGGGUGACUGGAAUUCCAGGUGUAGCGGUGGAAUGCGCAGAUAUCUGGAGGAACACCGAUGGCGAAGGCAGGUCACUGGGCCAUUACUGACGCUGAGGAGCGAAAGCAUGGGUAGCGAACAGG